RNAcentral lists this transfer RNA (73 nucleotides) under Kribbellaceae bacterium. RNAcentral describes it as "tRNA-Leu". It matches the Rfam family "tRNA". From Rfam's summary of the family: Transfer RNA (tRNA) molecules are approximately 80 nucleotides in length. Lineage: Bacteria; Bacillati; Actinomycetota; Actinomycetes; Propionibacteriales; Kribbellaceae. RNAcentral also lists the same sequence under 1 other name. The record is from RNAcentral.
GCCCUGGUACUCCAACGGCAGAGAGAGCGCACUCAAACUGCGUACAGUGUGGGUUCGAAUCCCACCCAGGGCA